CUUUAGCUAGGUGUUUCAUCCCUUAGCACCCAGUCGUCCUCAUUCAUCAAGUGGGGAGAGGGGAAGAAUUCCCAAUUAGCAGGGUUGCUAUAUAAACCAAAUAGAUAUGGAAAGCACUGCUCUAGGAGCUGGGACAUAAUGUACAUGGUCAGUGAUGGCUCUAGAGAUGAUGAUGGUGGUGGUGGUGGCAGUUAUGCUGAUAAUGAUGAUGAUGGGGCCAAUUAUGAUGGUGGAGAUGAUGAUGCUGACAUGGAUAAUGGUAGUGAUGAUGCUGAUGGUGACAGUUGUGAUGGAGGUGAUGAUGUUGACCGGGUAACAGUGAUAAUGAUGAUGGUGAUGGUGACAGUUACAGUGAUAAUCAUGGUGACAGUUAUGGUGGUGGAGGUGAUGACACUGAUAAUGGUAGUGAUGAUGCUGACGGUGACAGUUGUGAUGGAGGUGAUGACACUGAUAAUGGUAGUGAUGAUGCGGAUGGUGACAGUUGUGAUGGAGGUGAUGAUGCUGGCAGUGAUAAUGGUGAUGAUGCUGACGGUGACAGUUGUGAUGGAGGUGAUGUUGGCAGUGAUAAUGGUGAUUAUAUGAUGCUCACGGUGACAGUUACAGUGAUGCUGAUGGUGACAGUUGUGAUGGUGGAGAUGAUGAUAAAUGGUAAUAUUAGUGAUGAUGAUGAUGAUGGGGUGGUGGUGAUAAACCAGCAUUUGAGGACCUAGGUUGGGCCCAUCGCUCAGAAGGAUAUAAAACUAGAAGUUUGAGUGAGAACUACUGCUUUCAAGAAUGUUUGGUGAGAUUAAAUUAAAAUUCUUGAAAAACUAUUCAACAGCUUGCUAUUAUUAGCAAUGAGGAUAUUUCACAUUUAGUCAGCAUUCACUUCUAUGCCAGGCAUGGCUCCAAGUAGUUUAUAUAUAUUUCUUUCUUUUUUUUUUUUUUUUUUGGGGCCCCCCCCAAGACAUAUGGAGGUUCCCAGGUUAGGGGUCGAAUUGGAGCUACAGCUGUCCGCCUACACCACAGCCACAGCAGUGCCAGAUCUGAGCCAUGUCUGUGACUUAGACCACAGCUCACAGCAAUGCUGGAUCCUUAACCCGCACUGAGCAAGGCCAGGGAUCGAACCUGCAUCCUCAUGGAUGCUAGUCAGGUACAUUACCACUGAGCCA
This 1151-nucleotide long non-coding RNA is filed under the name Sus scrofa (pig). RNAcentral describes it as "lncRNA (ENSSSCG00035045782.1)". The record is from RNAcentral. Lineage: Eukaryota; Metazoa; Chordata; Mammalia; Artiodactyla; Suidae.